Molecule: long non-coding RNA, 1729 nt
Organism: Corticium candelabrum
Lineage: Eukaryota; Metazoa; Porifera; Homoscleromorpha; Homosclerophorida; Plakinidae
Exons: 6
Source: RefSeq, a predicted model, not a curated record
AAUUAGGAUAAAAUUUAUUUUAAUUAAUUAAUCUACGGAAUAUAUAUAAAUUAAUUAAUUAUAUUUAAAGCAAUUCCUGUACUACUAGAACAGCAACAAAUAUGUCAGUCCAGUUUCCGAUGAGUGAAUCACUUGUUGAGACUAGAUUGGGUGCAUCAUUUGAUUGAAAACAGUGUUCUAAUGUAUUGUUAUGGUUAGUUAAUUAAUUGUCUAAUUUGGAUGCUGCUGUUAGUGGUGAGUUUUUCACUUACCCUGACUAAGCUGGGUGCUUCACCUAACUGAAACAAUGUCAUAGUGUAUUGUUAGCAAUAUAGUUUAGUAAUAGUAAUUAUGACAUAUUAAUUACUUAAUUAAUUUGAUACUGCUGUUAGUGGCGAGUGGUUCACUUACCUCGACUAAGUUGGGUGACUUUUAUCUAACUGAAAACAGUGUCAUAGUGUAUGGUUGGCAAUGUAAUUUAGUAACAGUAAUUAUGACAUAUUAAUUAAUUAAUUGCUUUGAUGUUGGUGUUAGUGGCGAGUGUUUCACUUACUCUGACUAAUUUGGGUGCUCCACCUAUCUGUAAACAGUGUACUAACUUAAUCUAACCAUCCCUAAUCCUCUAUAACCUCGCCUAACCCUGAAAGAAAAUGAUGAGUACUGGUUGAACCACGGCUUGCAUCAUUGAUUCCUGACGGAUGUCCAGUUGUCUCAAUUUUUAAACACAUAACGCUAUACACUCUAUUUCUGAUUAUUAGUACUUGCUACCUUGUACUUGGUAACACUGUUUAUGCAUGGGAUGUGUUUUAACCUGUAAUGUGGUUUUAUCAAUACAUAUUUGCUAGAAUAAUCAGAUGAGAAUCAUUGUCUAGCUUGGUUCAGGGUUCGGACGCACUUUUGUGCUAAUCUUUACUGCAAGCAUGAUGGAGAAGUGGAAUUGAUUCUUGCACAAGAUUUUGGCGAUGGCAAAGCAAGAAACCAAAGGCUGAGUUUAAAGACAUUGAUAAUUCAGGUUGCAGAUGCUUUGCUGUAAUGGAGCUGAUGAUGGUGCAGUUUUCCAGCAAGACGCAGAAACCAGUUUGACAAGAAGUCAAAGUUGAUAUAUCUGAGUAUCACUUGGCUGUGAACUUGGAUGUAUUAUUGCUUUUGGAUAUCAUGAACAAUCGACUUUCUUGUCGACUUUCUCUGAGAAGUGGUCUCAAACAUGUAAGAUAACUCAACCAAGGACAAAGAGAGUUGAAGGCAGGUGGCAAAAGAAUGAAUGACCUAGUCAGAAAAUAUGAAUAUGAUCUCUUGAAUAUGGAGGUGAAAAGUCAUACUCAUGUGCUAUUGUCAUGCAAACGCCAAAUACCAGCUAUAGAUGCUGUGAUCAAGUAUUUAUCGGAAAGUGAUGAUGCAGAGUCAACAGUAGACAAGGUCUCUCAAGUUGCUCUAUACAUGAUUGUAUGUGGCAAUCCAGCCAAACCAAGCCAUGUUAUUGGCAUCCGAGCUCAUCAUCAUGUUUGAAAUUCAGUGCAGCAACAGCAUAUGUCUUCCAGCGCUAUUGCUUGCUGUAAUUUAUGUUUUCAAUACAAAUUUUCCUCAAUCUUUAGCAACUUUUUACUGUUGCCUGGAGGCCAUGUUACUGGGAUGUAUUUCAGCUCCAGUGAUAUCUAAUUUUUUAGCUGGAUUGCCAUGAGGAACUUUGAUGAAUUGUGUUUUGCUUUUUUCUUAGUGCGUUGAUUCACUAGUUUUGGUUUAAAUGUUUAAA